This 189-nucleotide ribosomal RNA is filed under the name uncultured bacterium. RNAcentral describes it as "partial 16S ribosomal RNA". It matches the Rfam family "Bacterial small subunit ribosomal RNA", at positions 338 to 524 of the family's 1533-position model. The record is from RNAcentral.
CCUACGGGAGGCAGCAGUGAGGAAUAUUGGACAAUGGAUGGAAAUCUGAUCCAGCCAUGCCGCGUGCAGGAAGACGGUCCUAUGGAUUGUAAACUGCUUUUAUAUGGGAGCAAUAAGGUCUUUGCGAAGACUGAUGAGAGUACCAUAUGAAUAAGGAUCGGCUAACUCCGUGCCAGCAGCCGCGGUAAU